UACGAAGGGGGCUAGCGUUGCUCGGAAUGACUGGGCGUAAAGCGCACGCAGGCGGUCUGUUCAGUUUGGAGUGACAGUUCCUGGCUCAACCGGGAAAGUGCUUCGAAUACUGGCGGACUUGAGGGCUUCAGAGGGACACGGAAUUCCGGGUGGAGUGGUGAAAUGCGUAGAGAUCCGGAGGAACACCAAAGGCGAAGGCAGUGUCCUGGGGAGUACCUGACGCUCAGGUGCGAAAGCCAGGGGAGCGAACGGG
This 253-nucleotide ribosomal RNA is filed under the name uncultured bacterium. RNAcentral's name for it is "partial 16S ribosomal RNA". It matches the Rfam family "Bacterial small subunit ribosomal RNA", at positions 524 to 776 of the family's 1533-position model. The record is from RNAcentral.